GCGCCCUUAGCUCAACUGGACAGAGCUUCUGACUUCGGAUCAGAAGGUUGCAGGUUCAACUCCUGCAGGGCGCGCCA
This 77-nucleotide transfer RNA is filed under the name Verrucomicrobiota bacterium. RNAcentral describes it as "Verrucomicrobia bacterium (freshwater metagenome) tRNA-Arg". It matches the Rfam family "tRNA". Rfam says of the family: Transfer RNA (tRNA) molecules are approximately 80 nucleotides in length. Lineage: Bacteria; Pseudomonadati; Verrucomicrobiota. The record is from RNAcentral.